This 397-nucleotide long non-coding RNA is filed under the name Bos indicus x Bos taurus (hybrid cattle). RNAcentral describes it as "lncRNA (ENSBIXG00005005518.1)". Lineage: Eukaryota; Metazoa; Chordata; Mammalia; Artiodactyla; Bovidae. The record is from RNAcentral.
CUUGCCUCUUAGACACCCCCAAGAAGUCGAGCGUGCGACCCGGGAAACCAGAGACGACCUUUCAGAAAGUUUCUCCCUACAGUUUUGACAUCAGAAGAGGGGACUGAAGGAAAGUCCCCACAGUCCCCAGGAGAAAUGAACAACCAGGGAAAGCUACUUGCUGAGACCCCUGAAUUUGCUGCACCUUUGGAGGUGCUGGGUAAGUAUUUCUCUCCUACCUCUGCGGUUUUUGCAUUUUGAACUUUCAGACUUUAUUUUAACAUUUCUUUUUCCAGACUGGGCCAGAAACUGGCCAGAGUCAGACUGGGUUCAACUUAGAAACCAAUCUACUUCAACUGGAUGCAGACCAGUAUAAAGCCUCAGGUGAAUAAAAUUUUGUGUUAAGGCUGAACUAGCA